GACGAACGCUGGCGGCGUGCUUAACACAUGCAAGUCGAACGAGGAAGUACCUUCGGGUAUGAUUAGAGUGGCGCACGGGUGAGUAACACGUAGGUGACCUUCCAUAUAGUUUGGAAUAACCAGAAGAAAUUUUGGCUAAUACCGGAUAAGUAAAGUAAUUUUGGAAGUAACUUUAGAAAGAAUGCCUCUGCGUAUGCAUUCGCUAUUGGAUGGGCCUGCGGCGCAUUAGCUUGAUGGUGAGGUAACGGCUUACCAUGGCUUCGAUGCGUAGCCGGAUUGAGAGAUUGAUCGGCCACACUGGGACUGAGACACGGCCCAG
This 319-nucleotide ribosomal RNA is filed under the name uncultured bacterium. Its description in RNAcentral is "bacterial SSU rRNA". It matches the Rfam family "Bacterial small subunit ribosomal RNA", at positions 28 to 334 of the family's 1533-position model. The record is from RNAcentral.